GCUCCCCAGCGCUGCCGAGAGCCAAAUGGGAUUUUGCCUGAAUGAGUACUGGGGGGUGGGCGCUCGUUCAGAGCCACAAACAGCUCCUUAAAAUACAACGAGUGCUCAGAAGAUGGAAUUUUGCUAUAUUAUGAUUUCAGAAAACAGCAGAUGAACACUGGACAUAAUGACAAGUCCCCCCAGCUCUGAAGAGCUCACUCGAACCCACUGAGCCUUCUGAGCAAUCCAGCUUCAGCCCUUGACUGUGUUCAUUACAUUAUUUUGAUGCACUGUGAUGAAUGCAAGAGAUCACUAUACAUUAAAAGCAGAGUUCAGUAAUCAGUAUGGAACAGUGUCCAUAUGCUGGCUGACAGCUUUACCCUACAGUUACUGGGCUAGUAGUUUUCAGCCAAAAGUCAGGAGAAUUUGGUACUCAGGGUUUUGCCCUCCCAUUCCCCUCUCUCUGCCACUAAAGUAAUCUGAAGUAAUAAUUUUCAACUGAAUAUUUUUAAGUGUUAUCUGUAUCUGUAGUUGCCAGUAAGAGCUCAGCCCCGUUCCUCUCACCACCACCUCUGCAGAUGCUCCUGGAAAGUGGGCAGGAGACCUCCACCACCCCUGGCUAUUCCCAGCAGGACUCUGAAGUGUUCCAGCUCUGGUGAGAGAGAAAUAACUGCAGCAAGAAUUGUCCCAGUAGAAGUUCAAAGAUCUUAAGUCUGUGACAAGAAAAACAAAUCAAGCUCCCGACCUUGGCAUCAUCGCUCACUUAGGAAUUUUUUGUACCUGAAAGAAAAUCUGCUGAUAUCCCAUGCAAGUAAUAAAUCACCUCACGUCAUCAGUAAAUACAGCUGUAAAACAGACAUCUCAAGAGCGCUUCACUGCUGAAUGUCUGAAGUAGGUGCGUGGUACUUUGAUCCUCCCUGAGGAGGCUCCCGAUGCCAUUGGUUACCGCUACAUCCCGUCCCCUCAGAGCCAGCCAGUACCAACCCACGGGCAAACCCGGACACUUCGCAGACACUCUGAGUAACUUUACAGACGCACAUUUUACUUAGCAGGGCAGUAAUAUGAAGAAAGUUUUAUUUUAAGCAGUUUUCAGAAAGAGAGAUCGAUUUCCCAGGCAAAAACUUAUGAACCCCACAGUCGAACAGCACAGUAAAAUAAACUAAAGCCGUUACCAAAAUUCAUAAUGAUUUGC
Lepidothrix coronata (blue-crowned manakin) is the source of this 1171-nucleotide long non-coding RNA. RefSeq lists it as uncharacterized. The transcript has 4 exons. The record is from RefSeq and is a predicted model, not a curated record. Lineage: Eukaryota; Metazoa; Chordata; Aves; Passeriformes; Pipridae.